This is a long non-coding RNA of Gasterosteus aculeatus aculeatus (three-spined stickleback), 1301 nucleotides long. The record is from Ensembl. NCBI's taxonomy places the organism in Eukaryota, Metazoa, Chordata, Actinopteri, Perciformes, Gasterosteidae.
UCUUUUGCGUUAUAAUGUAGAACAAAAACAAUCUCCAAAAUUGCAGUGUACAUAUGUUGCUUCACCUUUAUUCUGAAAGUAUCUAUUUCCGGUAAAUGUGUCUGUAGUUUGAUGCAGCUUCACACAGAGAUCACAGUGGUGAGAUUGCAGUUUGAAUUGCGCAUGACAGAAAUAACAGACUGAUGAGGUCGCUGUGAGAACAGAGACUGCCUGGUUUAAAGGAAGUACUGCAGUAAAAAGUACAAUACAAUACAGACCUCUGAGAUGUACUACAGUAAAAAGUACAAUACAGACCUCUGAGAUGUACUACAGUAAAAAAAUAGCAGAACAUGUAAGUACUCAAGUAAAGCGCCGUACAUUUGUUUAACUUGUGACCAAAACUACGUGAAUAACAUGACAAAUAUUUAAAAACUUGCACAUCAGAAGUCAGAAGAAACAUUCUGCCGCAGGUUAUUUUGUGAUUUUUAAUAAAUCAACUUGAUAAUAAACAACAAUCAGUAACAUAAUACAGGCAUCAGUCUGAUAUUUUUCAUUCGCACAUUUAACUAUGUAUUCUUCUUUUAAGCCAGAAAUACAACAAUAUUAUUAGAGUGAUUUUGAGUUGUAUAACUAUAUUCAUACUUCGACCAUGAAUUGUUUGGUAAAAUGUCAGUCGAGCUUCAAGAUUCCCCAGUUCCAGGUUCACUUCGUUUGAACUGUAACGAAAAAAAAGAAAAGACUUAUAUAGACAAACAGAUCUAGUUAAAUCAUCUCGGUUAAAAUAACAUACAGUGGUGAACAUCCAAGAAGAAGCCUAGAUCAGAGUAGUUUAAGACCACUUCUGAGUAGUUUAGAACUAGAUCCAAGUAGUUUAAGACCACAUCCGAGUAGUUUAGAACUAAAUCCAAGUAGUUUAAGACCACAUCUGAGUAGUUUAGAACUAGAUCCAAGUAGUUUAAGACCACAUCCAAGUAGUUUAGAACUAAAUCUGAGUAUUUUAAGACCACAUCUGAGUAGUUUAAAACUAAAUCUGAGUAGUUUAAGACCACAUCUGAGUAGUUUAGAACUAGAUCCAAGUAGUUUAAGACCACAUCCAAGUAGUUUAGAACUAAAUCUGAGUAUUUUAAGACCACAUCUGAGUAGUUUAAAACUAAAUCUGAGUAGUUUAAGACCACAUCUGAGUAGUUUAGAACUAGACCCAAUUAGUUUAAGACCACAUCUGAGUAGUUUAGAACUAAAUCUGAGUAUUUUAAGACCACAUCUGAGUAGUUUAAAACUAAAUCUGAGUAGUUUAAGACCACAUCUGAGUAGUUUAGAACUAG